Molecule: long non-coding RNA, 945 nt
Organism: Saccostrea cuccullata (small rock oyster)
Lineage: Eukaryota; Metazoa; Mollusca; Bivalvia; Ostreida; Ostreidae
Exons: 3
Source: RefSeq, a predicted model, not a curated record
AAUAUGAGACUGAGCUCAAUGAAAGCUAAAAAUUCUGUGAUGGCAGUGCUGAGGAAACAUUGAUGUGAUAAAAGGAAAGGGAGAGAACAAUGAGGACAACACCAGGAUAUGACUACAAUGUCACCCAAGGCUUAAUUCCUAAAAUAUAGGACUGUGGUGCUUUAUCGAUCCAGCUUUCGGACCAGAGUAAGGCACUCAUGACUGUGACAGAUACUGCCUGAUUAUCACAUUGAAGACUGAUUUUUGAAGGACCUUUCUACCUAAACAGAAAUGUAUGAAUGUCAGCAUCACUGUUUCAAACACUCAGCACCCUACCAUCAAAGUGGAUAUGGUCUUCAAAGACAAAAGGAAUGGAUGUGAUUUUCAGAGACAAAAUGAGCCCCCAAAAGAAGUCACUCUUGUUUAACUGGGAUAAUUUUUUUCACAUGUAUCAUUGUUUUACACAUACAUAUUUUUAAGUAGAAGUAACAGUUAUUCAACAUAUUUUUUUUUCUUUUAAUUUGAAUACAUGUAGAGGCAAAUGAUAAACUUAUCACAUCAGAGUUUCAUUGUGUUGUUAUAUUUAUGUAUGAUACUAUCAAUCAAAACAAGUUUGAUACCGGAAAUCCAGGAAAAACACCCUAAAUGUGUAUUUAUUUUGCAAUGUUUUUCAUAAGUAUUAUACAAGUCCAUCAUACCUUUGCUGCCAUACAGGGAUUAUGUAUUUUACUUUUAAAUGUCAUGAAGAUUCACCUUGAGAUAAAUUUCUGUUCUUUACUGAAUCAAAUUGAAUGUGGAAAAAAUACAAAGAUACAGAAAAACCCCUCACCUUCUUUUAGUUGUGGACAAUGUUGACAUGAGCAAAUUUGUGCUGCCCCCCCCCCCCCCCUUUUACAUUGAGUUAAAUUGAUUGUACUGUAUUACUUUUAAUUACAAUAAGCCUUAACUAUUUUUUUUUAUAAUUAC